This 743-nucleotide ribosomal RNA is filed under the name uncultured Chytridiomycota. RNAcentral describes it as "LSU rRNA". It matches the Rfam family "Eukaryotic large subunit ribosomal RNA", at positions 399 to 1116 of the family's 3401-position model. Lineage: Eukaryota; Fungi; Chytridiomycota. The record is from RNAcentral.
GUGAAAUUGUUGAAAGGGAAACGAUUGACGAGGGCAGGACAGGCAUCACUCAGCGGCAACGUGUACUUGAUGACUGUGGGCGACGACUGUGCGUAGAUGGUGGAUAAAGCAAACUGCAAGGUACCAACAUCAGUUGGGUUAAGGCAUUUUGAAAUACACUUUCUUGUACAGGGAAGAAGUAGGAUGAGAGGAAGAGAGGGAGGAAAGUUUUGUAAUGCUUUGCAGACAAAAAGCAGCCCCGCUUUGAAACUUGUUCAGAUUGAGUCGUUGGCUAUCGUUAAUCGACCCGUCUUGAAACACGGACCAAGGAGUCCAACCGUCGAGCGAGUCUUUGGGCUUUCUAAACCUGGAGGCGAAGCGAAAGCGACCCGUUGGAGAGAGUUUAUUCUUGCACAACGGCCCACAGACGUAUCAACUUUUGUGAGGCAGCUCGACUGUUGGGACCCGAAAGAUGGUGAACUAUGCCUGAAUAGGGUCAAGUCAGAGGAAACUCUGAUGGAGGCUCGUAGAGGUUCUGACGUGCAAAUCGAUCUUCAAAUUUGGGUAUAGGGGCGAAAGACUAAUCGAACCAUCUAGUAGCUGGUUCCCUCCGAAGUUUCCCUCAGGAUAGCAGGAACUCGGAUCAGUUUUAUCAGGUAAAGCGAAUGAUUAGAGGGCUUGGGGCAGUAACUGCCUUAACCUAUUCUCAAACUUUAAAUGGUAAAAAGCAACUGCUGCUUUGGUGAGCAGUUGACGCGAAUGAG